GCGCGAUUGAUGUUAGCGGCUAGCAUGACUGGCUUCCACCCAGUACGCACCAGUUCGAAUCUGGUAUCACGCUCCA
This 76-nucleotide transfer RNA is filed under the name uncultured archaeon. RNAcentral's name for it is "tRNA-Gly(tcc)". It matches the Rfam family "tRNA". From Rfam's summary of the family: Transfer RNA (tRNA) molecules are approximately 80 nucleotides in length. The record is from RNAcentral.